Molecule: ribosomal RNA, 550 nt
Filed under: uncultured Acinetobacter sp.
Lineage: Bacteria; Pseudomonadati; Pseudomonadota; Gammaproteobacteria; Moraxellales; Moraxellaceae
Description: bacterial SSU rRNA
Rfam family: Bacterial small subunit ribosomal RNA
Source: RNAcentral
GAUGUGGAUCCAUUAGAUACCCUGGUAGUCCAUGCCGUAAACGAUGUCUACUAGCCGUUGGGGCCUUUGAGGCUUUAGUGGCGCAGCUAACGCGAUAAGUAGACCGCCUGGGGAGUACGGUCGCAAGACUAAAACUCAAAUGAAUUGACGGGGGCCCGCACAAGCGGUGGAGCAUGUGGUUUAAUUCGAUGCAACGCGAAGAACCUUACCUGGUCUUGACAUAGUAAGGACUUUCCAGAGAUGGAUUGGUGCCUUCGGGAACUUACAUACAGGUGCUGCAUGGCUGUCGUCAGCUCGUGUCGUGAGAUGUUGGGUUAAGUCCCGCAACGAGCGCAACCCUUUUCCUUAUUUGCCAGCGGGUUAAGCCGGGAACCUUAAGGAUACUGCCAGUGACAAACUGGAGGAAGGCGGGGACGACGUCAAGUCAUCAUGGCCCUUACGACCAGGGCUACACACGUGCUACAAUGGUCGGUACAAAGGGUUGCUACCUAGCGAUAGGAUGCUAAUCUCAAAAAGCCGAUCGUAGUCCGGAUUGGAGUCUGCAACUCGA